This 497-nucleotide ribosomal RNA is filed under the name uncultured bacterium. RNAcentral's name for it is "partial 16S ribosomal RNA". It matches the Rfam family "Bacterial small subunit ribosomal RNA", at positions 28 to 507 of the family's 1533-position model. The record is from RNAcentral.
GGCGAACGCUGGCGGCGUGCCUAAUACAUGCAAGUUGAGCGCUGAAGGUUGGUACUUGUACCAACUGGAUGAGCAGCGAACGGGUGAGUAACGCGUGGGGAAUCUGCCUUUGAGCGGGGGACAACAUUUGGAAACGAAUGCUAAUACCGCAUAAAAACUUUAAACACAAGUUUUAAGUUUGAAAGAUGCAAUUGCAUCACUCAAAGAUGAUCCCGCGUUGUAUUAGCUAGUUGGUGAGGUAAAGGCUCACCAAGGCGAUGAUACAUAGCCGACCUGAGAGGGUGAUCGGCCACAGUGGGACUGAGACACGGCCCAAACGCCUACGGGAGGCAGCAGUAGGGAAUCUUCGGCAAUGGACGAAAGUCUGACCGAGCAACGCCGCGGGAGUGAAGAAGGUUUUCGGAUCGUAAAACUCUGUUGGUAGAGAAGAACGUUGGUGAGAGUGGAAAGCUCAUCAAGUGACGGUAACUACCCAGAAAGGGACGGCUAACUACGUG